Molecule: non-coding RNA, 1048 nt
Organism: Podarcis muralis (Common wall lizard)
Lineage: Eukaryota; Metazoa; Chordata; Lepidosauria; Squamata; Lacertidae
Source: RefSeq, a predicted model, not a curated record
UCGCCAGCUCCCCAAAGCGCCUUCCGUGGCCCCCCCGGCAGGGCCUGGAUCCCUGAACGUGUGCUGCGAAGGGGGCUUUCCUUGGCAGGGGUGGACAUGGGGCGCCCACCCACGGGGUCCCACGAGGACUCCCCGGCCCCGUUUCCCCCGCGCAGGCAUCCCCGGGGCCCUGUGCGCUCCGCGCGGAGAGAGGCAGACCAUGAAAGGGUUAACGGGCACGAAAGACGCCUAGAUAGAGACCCCCCGUCCCUCCCCAUCUCGUCUUGGGGGUCCCCUCCGGAUGGAGAGAUGGGUCGCGCUUGGCGAGGGGCAGUUUCAGAGUGACUGACUCUGGCUGAGAUACAAUCCUUCAGCAUCUGAUGAUAGCAAUUGCAUGAACCUCCCCAGUCAAAGGAUCCAUUUUCAUGGUAGACAGUGCCUGUCGCUGGAGGUUCUACAUACAAGGUGUGCCUAUACAGGCCAAAGACUGCCAGUAUUAGCACAGGCAGUGUCAGAGUGACUGACAAGCUGAGAUACAACCCAUCAGAAUCCGAUGACAGCAACUGCAUGAAUCUUCCCAGUCAAAGGACCCAUUUUCAUGAUAGACAGUGCCUGUGACUGGAGGCUCUACAUACAAGGUGUGCCUAUGCAGGCCAAAGACUGCAAGUAUUAGCACAGGGCCUGCCUUCACCUGCAGCAGAAUUCCCCAACCCAUCAAUGAUUUGAAACCCAUCAGCUAUCCUCACCUGAUUUAGCCGGCCGAUUGAAGCCGUUCCUGGGAUUGUGGCCCCUGUUCCAUCCUGACAGCUUCUGGAAGCCACAGUUCUCUUCCUUGAAACCCAAACAGGAUUCCCUUUCAUCCCACUCUGAAGAAGGAGAGGGAGAAGACAGUCAAAACUCCAGUGAAUGGGGCACCUUUCAUAUCAUUAGGAAUAGAAAUUAAAAUGUGUGAAAUGCAGAAUAUGCUUCAUUGAAUGAGGAAACAUAGUUCACAUCAACGACCUCCAACAGGGGAGAAACCAUUUAAAGGUAUGGAGUGCAGAAAGAGCUUCAGUACCAGUGGAAACCU